GAGUUUGGAACAUGGCUCAGGAUGAACGCUGGCGGCGUGCCUAAUACAUGCAAGUCGAACGCACAGCGAAAGGUGCUUGCACCUUUCAAGUGAGUGGCGAACGGGUGAGUAACACGUGGACAACCUGCCUCAAGGCUGGGGAUAACAUUUGGAAACAGAUGCUAAUACCGAAUAAAACUUAGUGUCGCAUGACACAAAGUUAAAAGGCGCUUCGGCGUCACCUAGAGAUGGAUCCGCGGUGCAUUAGUUAGUUGGUGGGGUAAAGGCCUACCAAGACAAUGAUGCAUAGCCGAGUUGAGAGACUGAUCGGCCACAUUGGGACUGAGACACGGCCCAAACUCCUACGGGAGGCUGCAGUAGGGAAUCUUCCACAAUGGGCGAAAGCCUGAUGGAGCAACGCCGCGUGUGUGAUGAAGGCUUUCGGGUCGUAAAGCACUGUUGUAUGGGAAGAACAGCUAGAAUAGGAAAUGAUUUUAGUUUGACGGUACCAUACCAGAAAGGGACGGCUAAAUACGUGCCAGCAGCCGCGGUAAUACGUAUGUCCCGAGCGUUAUCCGGAUUUAUUGGGCGUAAAGCGAGCGCAGACGGUUUAUUAAGUCUGAUGUGAAAGCCCGGAGCUCAACUCCGGAAUGGCAUUGGAAACUGGUUAACUUGAGUGCAGUAGAGGUAAGUGGAACUCCAUGUGUAGCGGUGGAAUGCGUAGAUAUAUGGAAGAACACCAGUGGCGAAGGCGGCUUACUGGACUGCAACUGACGUGNGCUCG
RNAcentral lists this ribosomal RNA (763 nucleotides) under Leuconostoc mesenteroides. Its description in RNAcentral is "bacterial SSU rRNA". It matches the Rfam family "Bacterial small subunit ribosomal RNA", at positions 9 to 755 of the family's 1533-position model. Lineage: Bacteria; Bacillati; Bacillota; Bacilli; Lactobacillales; Lactobacillaceae. The record is from RNAcentral.